UACAGAGGGGGCAAGCGUUGUUCGGAAUUACUGGGCGUAAAGGGCGCGUAGGCGGCCUUCUAAGUCGAACGUGAAAUCCCCGGGCUCAACCCGGGAACUGCGUCCGAUACUGGAAGGCUUGAAUCCGGGAGAGGGAUGCGGAAUUCCAGGUGUAGCGGUGAAAUGCGUAGAUAUCGGGAGGAACACCAGUGGCGAAGGCGACUACCUGGCCUGUUCUUGACGCUGAGGCGCGAAAGCUAGGGGAGCAAACGGG
RNAcentral lists this ribosomal RNA (253 nucleotides) under uncultured bacterium. Its description in RNAcentral is "partial 16S ribosomal RNA". It matches the Rfam family "Bacterial small subunit ribosomal RNA", at positions 524 to 776 of the family's 1533-position model. The record is from RNAcentral.